GAGCGUUAUCCGGAAUCAUUGGGUUUAAAGGGUCCGUAGGCGGGCCAUUAAGUCAGGGGGUGAAAGUCUGCAGCUCAACUGUAGAAUUGCCUUUGAUACUGGUGGUCUUGAGUCGUUGUGAAGUGGCCGGAACAUGUGGUGUAGCGGGUGAAAAUGCAUAGAUAUCACAUAGAACACCGAUUGCGAAGGCAGGUCACUAACAACGUACUGACGCUGAUGGACGAAAGCGUGGGUAGCGAACGGGAUUAGAUACCCCGGUAGUCCACGCCGUAAACGAUGGAUACUAGCUGUCCGAGGCCUUGAGUCUUGGGCGGCCAAGCGAAAGUGAUAAGUAUCCCACCUGGGGAGUACGUUCGCAAGAAUGAAACUCAAAGGAAUUGACGGGGGCCCGCACAAGCGGUGGAGCAUGUGGUUUAAUUCGAUGAUACGCGAGGAACCUUACCAGGGCUUAAAUGUAGUAUGACAGGGGUAGAGAUACCUUUUCCUUCGGGCAUAUUACAAGGUGCUGCAUGGUU
RNAcentral lists this ribosomal RNA (515 nucleotides) under uncultured Flavobacteriaceae bacterium. Its description in RNAcentral is "bacterial SSU rRNA". It matches the Rfam family "Bacterial small subunit ribosomal RNA", at positions 536 to 1050 of the family's 1533-position model. Lineage: Bacteria; Pseudomonadati; Bacteroidota; Flavobacteriia; Flavobacteriales; Flavobacteriaceae. The record is from RNAcentral.